RNAcentral lists this small RNA (92 nucleotides) under Marmota monax (woodchuck). Lineage: Eukaryota; Metazoa; Chordata; Mammalia; Rodentia; Sciuridae. The record is from RNAcentral.
GCUGGGCAUGGUGGUGCAUGCCUGUAAUCCCAGCAGCUUGGGAGGCUGAGGCAAACUGAGGCACUAAGUAACUCAGUGAGACCCUGUCUCUA